This 498-nucleotide unclassified non-coding RNA is filed under the name uncultured Glomus. RNAcentral's name for it is "SSU rRNA". It matches the Rfam family "Eukaryotic small subunit ribosomal RNA", at positions 591 to 1092 of the family's 1831-position model. Lineage: Eukaryota; Fungi; Glomeromycota; Glomeromycetes; Glomerales; Glomeraceae. The record is from RNAcentral.
CCAAUAGCGUAUAUUAAAGUUGUUGCAGUUAAAAAGCUCGUAGUUGAAUUUCGGGGUUAGUAAGUUGGUCGUGCCACUGGUAUGUACUGGCUUUACUGAUUCCUCCUUCUUGUAGAACCGUAAUGCCAUUAAGUUGGUGUUGCGGGGAAACAGGACUGUUACUUUGAAAAAAUUAGUGUUUAAAGCAAGCUAACGCUUGAAUACAUUAGCAUGGAAUAAUGAAAUAGGACGUUCGAUCCUAUUUUGUUGGUUUCUAGGAUUGACGUAAUGAUUAAUAGGGAUAGUUGGGGGCAUUAGUAAUCAAUUGUCAGAGGUGAAAUUCUUGGAUUUAUUGAAGACUAACUACUGCGAAAGCAUUUGCCAAGGAUGUUUUCAUUAAUCAAGAACGAAAGUUAGGGGAUCGAAGACGAUCAGAUACCGUCGUAGUCUUAACCAUAAACUAUGCCGACUAGGGAUCGGAUGAUGUUAAUUUUAUAAUGACUCAUUCGGCGCCUUACG